Molecule: transfer RNA, 360 nt
Filed under: uncultured Microcystis sp.
Lineage: Bacteria; Bacillati; Cyanobacteriota; Cyanophyceae; Chroococcales; Microcystaceae
Description: partial 16S-23S ribosomal RNA intergenic spacer
Rfam family: tRNA (bases 136-209)
Source: RNAcentral
AAAGGGAGACCUAAUUCAGGUAAAAGACGAAAAAAAAGUAGUCGCUACCAAGAAUCAAUCCCAAAAGGUCGGAGCGAGGCGAAAUUGGCUUUCAAACUAGGUUCUGGGUUCAAACAAGACCUGAAUCAGGAACAAGGGCUAUUAGCUCAGGUGGUUAGAGCGCACCCCUGAUAAGGGUGAGGUCCCUGGUUCGAGUCCAGGAUGGCCCACCUGCACAGAUGGCAAAAACAAAGAAGCGAGGAAUCAGCACCUUACCUUACUGACAUAGUAAGAGAGAAUGCUGGCUCUGAGUAAAGAGUCCAGAGGAACCUUGAAAACUGCAUAGAGCUAGGUGAAAAAGCCAAAAAAGAAGACCGCAAG